AGGUGUUUAAUCUAAUCAAGAUAAUUGAUUUCGACUCAAUUAAUUAUGGUCUCAACCCAUAAAUACCUU
RNAcentral lists this transfer RNA (69 nucleotides) under Potorous tridactylus (long-nosed potoroo). RNAcentral's name for it is "transfer RNA-Arg". Lineage: Eukaryota; Metazoa; Chordata; Mammalia; Diprotodontia; Potoroidae. The record is from RNAcentral.